AAGACUAUAGACCUGCGGAGUACCUGCGGAAGGAUCAUUAUCGUAUUGUAACAAUUGGGGGGGCCACCGUGGGCUGUCGCUGACCCUUUGAAAGGGGGGUCGUGCACGCCCCCAUAGUGUCAUCCUCAUACAAUCCAACUCACCUCUGUGCAUCACCGCGUGGGUUCCUUUCUGGGUCGAGUCAGACUGGCUCUGAAAAAAGGGGCUUGCGUUUUCCAUACAAAUACCCUUAUAAAUCCA
This 240-nucleotide unclassified non-coding RNA is filed under the name soil metagenome. RNAcentral's name for it is "partial contains 5.8S ribosomal RNA, internal transcribed spacer 2, and large subunit ribosomal RNA". The record is from RNAcentral.